RNAcentral lists this ribosomal RNA (468 nucleotides) under uncultured bacterium. RNAcentral describes it as "partial 16S ribosomal RNA". It matches the Rfam family "Bacterial small subunit ribosomal RNA", at positions 28 to 507 of the family's 1533-position model. The record is from RNAcentral.
GACGAACGCUGGCGGCGUGCUUAACACAUGCAAGUCGAACGGAAAGGCCCUGCUUUUGUGGGGUGCUCGAGUGGCGAACGGGUGAGUAACACGUGAGUAACCUGCCCUUGACUUUGGGAUAACUUCAGGAAACUGGGGCUAAUACCGGAUAGGAGCUCCUGCUGCAUGGUGGGGGUUGGAAAGUUUCGGCGGUUGGGGAUGGACUCGCGGCUUAUCAGCUUGUUGGUGGGGUAGUGGCUUACCAAGGCUUUGACGGGUAGCCGGCCUGAGAGGGUGACCGGCCCCAUUGGACCUGAGAUAAGGCACAGACUCCUACGGGAGGCAGCAGUGGGGAAUAUUGCACAAUGGGAGGAAGCCUGAUGCAGCAACGCCGCGUGCGGGAUGACGGCCUUCGGGUUGUAAACCGCUUUCGCCUGUGACGAAGCGUGAGUGACGGUAACGGGUAAAGAAGCACCGGCUAACUACGUG